Molecule: ribosomal RNA, 274 nt
Filed under: uncultured bacterium
Lineage: Bacteria
Description: partial 16S ribosomal RNA
Rfam family: Bacterial small subunit ribosomal RNA
Source: RNAcentral
AUACGGAGGGUGCAAGCGUUAUUCGGAAUCACUGGGCGUAAAGGACGCGUAGGCGGGUUGGCAAGUCAGAUGUGAAAUCCUACAGCUUAACUGUAGAACUGCAUUUGAAACUGCUAACCUAGAGUAUGGGAGGGGGAGAUGGAAUUAGUGGUGUAGGGGUAAAAUCCGUAGAUAUCACUAGGAAUACCGAAAGCGAAGGCGAUCUCCUGGAACAUAACUGACGCUAAGGCGUGAAAGCGUGGGGAGCAAACAGGAGUAGAAACCCUAGUAGUCC